GAUGAACGCUGGCGGCGUGCCUAAUACAUGCAAGUCGAGCGAACGGACGAGAAGCUUGCUUCUCUGAUGUUAGCGGCGGACGGGUGAGUAACACGUGGAUACCCUACCUAUAAGACUGGGAUAACUUCGGGAAACCGUAGCUAAUACCGGAUAAUAUUUUGAACCGCAUGGUUCAAAAGUGAAAGACGGUCUUGCUGUCACUUAUAGAUGGAUCCGCGCUGCAUUAGCUAGUUGGUAAGGUAACGGCUUACCAAGGCAACGAUGCAUAGCCGACCUGAGAGGCUGAUCAGCCACACUGGAACUGAGACACGGUCCAGACUCCUACGGGAGGCAGCAGUAGGGAAUCUUCCGCAAUGGGCGAAAGCCUGACGGAGCAACGCCGCGUGAGUGAUGAAGGUCUUCGGAUCGUAAAACUCUGUUAGUAGGGAAGAACAUAUGUGUAAGUAACUGUGCACAUCUUGACGGUACCUAAUCAGAAAGCCACGGCUAACUACGUG
This 497-nucleotide ribosomal RNA is filed under the name uncultured bacterium. Its description in RNAcentral is "partial 16S ribosomal RNA". It matches the Rfam family "Bacterial small subunit ribosomal RNA", at positions 28 to 507 of the family's 1533-position model. The record is from RNAcentral.